GUGGCUCACGCCUGUAAUCCCAGCACUGUGGGAUACCAAGGCAGGCGCAUCACCUAGGAUUGAGUUUGAGAACAGCCUGGCCAAAAUGGUGAAACCCUGUCUCU
Long non-coding RNA from Sapajus apella (tufted capuchin), 104 nucleotides. RefSeq lists it as uncharacterized. Lineage: Eukaryota; Metazoa; Chordata; Mammalia; Primates; Cebidae. The transcript has 3 exons. The record is from RefSeq and is a predicted model, not a curated record.